GGAGAGAAGAGGAGGAUAAAGAGGUGGAGAGUAGAGGAGGAUAAUAGAGGAGGAGGGUAGAGGAGGAUAAUAGAGGAGGAGGGUAGAGGAGGAUAAUAGAGGUGGAUAGCAGAGGAGGAUAAAGAGGUGUCGGGUAGAGGAGGAUAAUGGAGGAUGAAAGUAGAGGAGGAUAAUAGAAGUGGAUUGCAGAUGGGGAUAAAGAUAUGUUGAGUAGAGAAGGAUAAUAGAGGAGGAGAAUAGAGGAGGAUAAUAGAGGUUGAUAGCAGAGGAGGAUAAAGAUAUGUUGAGUAGAGGAGGAUAAUAGAGGUGGGGAAUAAAGGAGGAUACAGGUGGAGAGUAGAGGAGGAGAGUAUAGGUGGAGAGUAGAGAAAGUAUAAUAGAGGAGGAGAGUAGAGGGGUAUAAGAGAGGUGGAGAGUAGAGGGGGAUAAUAGAGGUGGAGAGUAGAGGAGUAUAAUAGAGGAGGAGUGUAGAGGAGGAUAAUAGAGGUGGAGAGUAGAGGAGGAUAAUAGAGGUGUAGAGUAGAGGAGGAUAAUAGAGGUGUAGAGUAGAGGAGGAUAAUAGAGGUGGGGAAUAGAGGGGGAUAGAGGUGGAGAGUAGAGGAGGAGAGUAGAGGUGGAGAGUAGAGGAGCAUAAUAGAGGAGGAGAGUAGAGGAGUAUAAUAGAAGUGGAGAGUAGAAGGGGAUAAAAGAGGAGGAGAGUAGAGGAGGAUAAUAGAGGUGGAGAGUAGAGGAGGAUAAUAGAGGUGGGGAAUAAAGGAGGAUAGAGGUGGAGAG
Molecule: long non-coding RNA, 774 nt
Organism: Oncorhynchus tshawytscha (Chinook salmon)
Lineage: Eukaryota; Metazoa; Chordata; Actinopteri; Salmoniformes; Salmonidae
Source: Ensembl